Molecule: long non-coding RNA, 1397 nt
Organism: Solea solea (common sole)
Lineage: Eukaryota; Metazoa; Chordata; Actinopteri; Pleuronectiformes; Soleidae
Exons: 3
Source: RefSeq, a predicted model, not a curated record
GGGUCGGCAGGGUGUUUGGCGGUCGGUUGGAGGGAGAAAGCAAGUUUUUUGGAAUAACGAGUGAUUUAACAACAUAUCAAAGUAGUUUGAAGGAAUGUGGGAGGAGGAGGAGUUGGAUUGAGUGGUAGGAUGGAUAUCGGCCAAUGACCUGUAAGCUCCGGUAUACGAUAUCUGUGUACGACUCGUGAAGGGAGAGAGGGGGACAAUGAGGGAGAGUGGAGAGGAUAUAAGGGUAUGAACCAACGCAGCCAAGCAAAAGGGAAGAAGAGAUUAAGAAGGGACAGUGAUGAGCAUAAUGAGAGUGAAGAAGUGGGGCUUGAGCAAACACAAACGGUGAGACAGGAGAAGUGUAUUGCUAUACACUGUAUUGUUGUCGUACUGCAGUUGGAAUGAAUUUCAUAUCAAAAAUAUAUGACUCCUCUCAUUCCCUAACUCACAGCCCAGCUGAAAUAAACUCCACCUUCGCUUCCUAUUAUUUUAACCUGUAUCAGUCCGAACCUCCUGCAAAUACGACUACAAUGGAUCAUUUCCUGGAUAACAUUGAUAUACCUACCAUAGAUCCUCGUAUUAAAGAGGAGUUGGAAAAACCUAUACAGUUGGAAGAAUUAACUUCUUGUCUUAAAUUAAUACAAAAUAAUAAAGCUCCAGGGCUGGAUGGAUUUCCAGUUGACUUCUAUGAAAGAGUAGGCUCUCUUCUUUCAUCUGGAAAAAAAAGUUUCCGUUCACUAGUAAUCGGCAUUAGAACAUACACCCCUUAUUUUAACAACCCAACUGCCGGGUUAUGAAAUGUUUAACCCAUUAUGGGUUAUUUAUAUAGGAUAUGGGUCACGUUUGUGCAACUCAUGUGGUGGGUCAAAAUCCAUCAACCCAACAUACAUCGGUUAACUCAGCACCUGGGUUGUUUGUGCUUCGAACGUCAUCACGUGGACAGAAGGUUCACACACCAAGCACCAAGCGCUCACGCGAAUCAGAACCUGACUCAGCAUCGUCGUCGUCGUGAAGCAGAUAAUAAAAGAUCAAUGGACAGCUUUGUCAUCAAUACUUUGACAUAGUGGCAACUGACAGACCUUAUAGAAAGAUUCCAAGAAGAGGAUUGAUGAGGAAAGUUUUCUUCUUUUAGAUGAGGCCACCAUCAAAGAGCUGAUCACAAGCUGGUCCUAGGCUCAAGUUUCUCAAGAAGUUUCUCAAGAAGGAUCAAUUCUUCAGUUGUCCGGGAGUGAAAACUGGUCAAGUUCCUCCAAACAAGAGUACUUGCAUGCAAGGAGCAUGUUUAGGUGUUUACUGAUACUCAUUUGAACUGUUCCAUGCAGUGACCUGAAUUAGAAAACAUUUAUAUUGUGGAUAAUAAUACAUUUUUUCCAAGAUUCCAGUAUUGUUUAAGUGUUUAUUGCAUAAUA